Rhodocollybia butyracea is the source of this 91-nucleotide non-coding RNA. NCBI's taxonomy places the organism in Eukaryota, Fungi, Basidiomycota, Agaricomycetes, Agaricales, Omphalotaceae. The record is from the annotation of a GenBank genome assembly.
GGCGCUAUAGCCAAGUGGUUACGGCGACAGAUUAGAAUGAUAGAUAAUCUGUUCCUCUUUGAGGGCGCAGGUUCGAAUCCUGCUGGCGUCG